UAAUCAUGAUAACUUUACGAAUCGCAUGGUCUUGUACCGGCGAUAGUUCAUUCAAAUAUCUGCCCUAUCAACUUUCGAUGGUAGUAUAGAGGACUACCAUGGUGGUAACGGGUAACGGAGAAUCAGGGUUUGAUUCCGGAGAAGGAGCCUGAGAAACGGCUACUACUUCCAAGGAAGGCAGCAGGCGCGCAAAUUACCCAAUCCCGACACGGGGAGGUAGUGACAAAAAAUAACAAUACCGGUCUUAUUUAAGUCUGGUAAUUGGAAUGAGUACAAUCUAAAACCUUUAACGAGUAUCAAUUGGAGGGCAAGUCUGGUGCCAGCAGCCGCGGUAAUUCCAGCUCCAAUAGCAUAUAUUAAAGUUGUUGCAGUUAAAAAGCUCGUAGUUGGAUUUUGAUGUUAUUUAUUAUGACCCGCCUUGUAUAAGGUGUGUUUGUUGUGAUAAGUACAUCUCCU
Molecule: ribosomal RNA, 456 nt
Filed under: Neoparamoeba sp.
Lineage: Eukaryota; Discosea; Flabellinia; Dactylopodida; Paramoebidae
Description: SSU rRNA
Rfam family: Eukaryotic small subunit ribosomal RNA
Source: RNAcentral